This 468-nucleotide ribosomal RNA is filed under the name uncultured bacterium. RNAcentral's name for it is "partial 16S ribosomal RNA". It matches the Rfam family "Bacterial small subunit ribosomal RNA", at positions 28 to 507 of the family's 1533-position model. The record is from RNAcentral.
GACGAACGCUGGCGGCGUGCUUAACACAUGCAAGUCGAACGGAAAGGCCCUGCUUUUGUGGGGUGCUCGAGUGGCGAACGGGUGAGUAACACGUGAGUAACCUGCCCUUGACUUUGGGAUAACUUCAGGAAACUGGGGCUAAUACCGGAUAGGAGCUCCUGCUGCAUGGUGGGGGUUGGAAAGUUUCGGCGGUUGGGGAUGGACUCGCGGCUUAUCAGCUUGUUGGUGGGGUAGUGGCUUACCAAGGCUUUGACGGGUAGCCGGCCUGAGCGGGUGACCGGCGACAUUGGGACUGAGAUAGGGACCAGACUGCUACGGGAGGCAGCAGUCGGGAAUAUUGCAGAAUGGGCGGAAGCCUGAUGCAGCAACGCCGCGUGCGGGAUGACGGGCUUCGGGUUGUAAACAGCUUUGGCCUGUGACGAAGCGUGAGUGACGGUAAUGGGUAAAGAAGCAACGGCUAACUACGUG